Passer domesticus (house sparrow) is the source of this 5020-nucleotide long non-coding RNA. RefSeq lists it as uncharacterized. NCBI's taxonomy places the organism in Eukaryota, Metazoa, Chordata, Aves, Passeriformes, Passeridae. The record is from RefSeq and is a predicted model, not a curated record. The transcript has 14 exons.
GGGGGUAUAAAAGGCUGGGCUGAGGGACAAGGAGGCCACAUGCUGCAGCCCUCUGGAGUGGAAUGGUGUUCGUGUGUGUGGAUUGAAGCUUUCUGACAUUGUAUGGUGAUGCCCUGUGCAUUGUGACCCUCUUCACUGCAGUGUGAGUUUUGACAGUGCUUCACCUCCCAGGAGAGCACUGAGGAAAAGUGCUUCUCACUUUCUUGGCACCUGGAGGAGCUGCUUCCAAGCCCAAGGAAGCUGUUGAUGAAGCAGUGGAGGGAGUUUUUUCUUCUUGGUCAACGUGGAAGGAGCUUGUCAUGAAGAUCUAUGAAGCAGCUGCAGACUAAUGUCACUGGGAAUGAGAGGAGAUUUUGACCCUGUUUGUUGGAGAGGAAACUGAAAGUAAUGAGCCCAGAGUGCGAGGAGACCUCUAGAACUGGAAAAUUUGGAAGCUGCACAGCAGGAUCACAACAGCCACUGGAGCUUUGGGUUUGCUGCAGUUAAUAUGUGACACGGAAAAGGGAGGGAAUUUCUUAUCCCUCACACUUUCCCUUUACAAUAAAAGCUAGAAUGUAAUAUUUCCAAAGAUUAGACUUUAAGAAUUGCAGCAAAUAUGUUCAGCUAAUGGCUUUUCUCGGUGAAUGGAAUGGUACACCAGCUGAGCUUUUCCUGCUCUCUCAGUUCCCUGGAAAAUUCUGAACAUUGUAAUAAGUUCAGAGGUGAAAUUGAUGGCAGGUCACACAGCUACUGGCUGAGGAGUGCUGAUGUGUACUCUGAGAAUGGUUAAUAGUUCAUUUUAUUGCACAGCCAAAAUAAGACAGAGCUGUAGUGCAGACUCUUUUCCACUUGUACUCUGGGGAUUCUGAAACAUUUCACUUUUUCCUGGUGGCUAUAUGGAGCAAAACAAAACAUCAGCCAGUAGUUUACAUUUUUGCUGCCUGCUUUAUUUAGCACCAUCCCUGAAGUGACUCUGGGCAUUUAUAAAUAGAGAACUCUCACAACACUGAGCCCAUGUGAAAGAUGGUGUCGGCUUUCCUCUGUGGAGAUUAAAAACAGAGGAUUUUUUGUGCCAAGCCCAACUUCAUGGCUGAGUUAAGCCAGGGAGCCUGUUUUCUGUCCCAUCAUUGGCUGUGUUGGGGAUUAAUGGUAUAACUUGUUCUGUCAGUCUGUCUUUGCAAGUCAAUUCACUGGUCUGCAAUGUGAUAGGUACUUAAAAACGAGCCUUGACUCUAGAUCCAUGCAGGAGUCCUUCCUAAGAGAAGGAUGCAUUGCAAAAUGGACAGGCAUUGCCAUUUUUCAGAAUCUUGUGUUAGUAAAAUUGCUACUGGGUUGGAAUGGAAAUAUUUUAUAUCCCUAAAAAUUAGGGGCUUAAUCUUACCAUGAGACAUCAUUUAUUAGAAGUGUUUCUUUCUGAAACUUUGUGUAAUUCUUUCUGUUCUUUUCUAUAUUCAGUUGUCUUUGUGUCAGUAAAAGACAGUUAAUUACACAUCAAUGCAAGGAAAACAUUCAGGUUCUUUUUAGAUGUUUUAUAUGUUUAACAGCUAAAAUCAAAGAGGAUUCCAGCCUAGUGGAAGUUUUGCUUAGGUUGCUAUUCAGCAAAACCAUAGAUCAGAACUUCCCCAAAGGGAACCAACAGCCCUACAAACAAUAUAAACCAGCCUGGUGACAUGGAGAAGUACCUGAUGGCAAGGGCUCUGAAGAAAGCAUGCUUUAAAAUCCUGUUUUGUGCACAGAUGUGGAUGCUCAAAACAGGAAUCUUUCUUUGAGAAGGGGUCAGGACACAAUACAAAUAAAUCAGUAAACCAGAAACGCUUGUGGGACAAAAUAUUUCAGUCUUUCAGGCAGUUGAAGUCCAGACAUUCAGGGGAAGUAAGUUAAAUAACUGGUGGUGCAUUUGAAUGAGAACAUUCAUCUUUUUUGUCAAAGCCCCACAGAUAUUCUUCAAACUGACAGAAGCAUCUGACCACAUUUCCCCCUUUCCCUACCCUGAAUGAACUUGUGAACUAGUUGGGCGCUGCCUGGGUUCCGGGCAUUUCAAUAGUUCUGGCUGUAUUCUAACAUUCAGCCUAGAGGAAUUCCUGUUAAUUUUCUUUAUGCUCUUUAUUAAGCUUUUGUUUUGUUCCUUCAGGACUUUUCUGCGUGUUGAAUGGGAAAACCAUUUUAUCUGAUGCAGUUUACAUUUCCGUAAUGGUGAACCACACAGAAGAGCCUGGAAGAGACCAAGGGUUUUUUUUGUAGAAACAGCCAGCCAUCCUCCUGCCCAAGUAUAGUGCAACCUGCACUGUCGAAAGCCACGUUCUUUUGGCUGAUUUUCUGGUCAUAUUAGGAGUGUGGACACACUUCCAGCCCAGAUUAAAUAUGGACCUUAAUGUACAAAUUAGGUAAAAUACCAGUGGGUAGUCAAAUGGUAGAACUUGAUACGUUACCAAAAGAGAUGAUGUUUGAUGCCAAAAAAUCAAGAAAUACUUCAGAUAUUGUUUAUUUCAAAAGCUGACUUCCUGUGAGAAAUUCCAAGCCAUGCCAGCUGAAUCCAAUAAAAGGACAGGAGACCUUGGAGUGUGUAGAGGCAUAGAAAGCAUUCUAGUAACUCUUUCCUGUCUCGUGGUGGUUUUGAAUUGAAUCAAAUAAUUCCCCAAUCUUAAAGAAAACACCUGUGAAAGCAUUUUUUCUUGAACUGCUUGAGAUGGUUGACAGAAAAACACUGAAGACUCUAUCAGCACCACUCAUAAGAAUGCCAGAGUAAGAAAAACAGAGGACAGGAUCUCUUGCAACUGAAAUAUCUGCAUCAGUAAAAGUGUUGGUUGUCUUCUAGAACCACAUGAUUUCAUCCUAAAUUGCUUCUUCAGCACAGAGUGAAAUAACAAUAGAAGUUUUUUCUUCUUGGAGGAAAGGGCCUAAAGAAGACAUCAGCCUGAAUAUGCAUCAAGAUGACGCAGGCAGGAAAAAGAUGAAUGCUGCCUUAGUAACCUCUGAAUUCUCAGUGCUGGAAUUCCUCCCAAGCCUUUUCAAGCCAGCCAUGUCAUGGAAAUGGCUGCCAGUGAUUUAUCCAGAGCUUGGCAUAAGUCCUUGGCUGGGUGGGGAGGAAGAGUUUGGCCAACAGAAGUAUACCAACUCAGGAUUGCAAGAAUCUGUGAAACUGGACCAAAUUAAAUUUAUUUGGUUCUUAUUGAUGCAACCUUGCUCAAGCUUAUAGGAGUUUUUACCAGCAGGAAGACUUUCAAAGUGUCAAGCAUUAUAAAGAUGCAGGAGUGCACACUGACAGGUAAAAAAAUAUUGUAAAAAAAUAUACAACAAAGAAAACCCAAAAAUGACACCCAAAAGCAGAUAAGUCCAGGUGUUGUGUCCACAGCCUCCUCACUUGGCCCACCUCUUUCCUGAAGAGUGCUGCUCAGCACUGAACAACAGCUGCUGGACCUAAAAUACCUGUGAAUCUGUCUAGCCUGUGCUUGUGCUGAGCUGUUCACCACAACCUGUUUGAGGACAACCAUCCAGCCAAUAUCUUAUCCACUGAGAGGUCCAUCCAUCAAAUCCAUGUCUCUGCAGUUUGGAGACAAGGAUGCCGUGAGGGACAAAAAGCUGUGCACAAAUCCAGGUGGAUGACAAGCCCAGGCUUCACACUAAAGCGUUCUCCAGCUGAGUUAUGCCCCUUAGUCAUGGAAUUCACACCCCAAGCCCUCCGCUGACGCAAACCUUGAAGAGCAGCUCUGUGGAGGAUAACCUAAGUGCUGCCUCCCGAGCUGAGUGUGCUGUCCUUCCUUGUUAUUGUAACAUUGAUAUACAUAUCUUCCUUUCCUCAUCUGUUAUACCCUAAUGUCAUUAGGACGAGCCUGCAGCACUUUUAAGAGCUGGCUGCCCAGCCUCUUUGACGUCAUUGCAGAAAGGUCUCGGCUGCGGAGCCUGCACAUACUGUCUGUGAUAUAGUGUAUAAAAAUCCAUGUCAGUGCUGGCUCUCAGGGAGCUCUGGAAAUGAUUCAGCUGUCUGGAAUGGGCAGAUGGCUGCUAUCAAAGUUUUAUUAUCACCAUCAUUAUUAUUACAGUGGUUUGUGACACAUAUUGAACUUUCAGGCUAGUGUUAAAGCUAAAGUAUUUGAGCAACACUUUCUGAAAUUCAAAUCCCUCAAAUCCUUUCCAAUCUGACUCCAAAAAGCAGGAGUAGGUUUAAAGCUAAUUAGACAGAUUGCUUGGUUCCACUUCCAACUUUCAGAAUAAUUAUCUGAAAAUUCUUGUUCUCAUGUAAACGCAACUGUUAACUAUUUUUAAUUGCUUUGAUUUAUUGCAGAACUUAAAUUCAGUACAUAUUGAAUGUUCAGCAGGGUGGAAAGAAAAUUUGAGUUAGUUAAGGGUGCAUAUGCAUUGGAUUGCCUACCAAGUUUUUACUCUUUGAAAAAGCUUGCAGUCAACCUAGGCUACUGCAUACUGCCUGCUGGAGGCAUCCUCUGUCUCUAACUACACACACUGAGGAAUUUCUAGGCAGACAUCUUCUCCUGUUUGGUUUUCCUUCACCAUCAACCUCUUCCUCCACACUUAGAGAUGUCUCAGCCAAGGGAUCUACAGGGCAAGCUUUCAUUUAUUAAGGGACAGUUUGUUUCAUAGUUUUCUACUCUUUGUAGCUUCAUCUUGUCCAGUAUCUUCAUAACACCCUGGAGUUUCUUCCAGUGUCAGAAACUCUACCCCAGAAACUGCUUUUCUAGCCUAGGCUGAGUCUGAUAUGUUCCUUCCUAGAGGCAAAGUGAAAUAAAACCACUAUUUUCCCCUCCUAAGUAUGGUUCUAUUCUCUGUUCCCUCUUCUGUAACAGAGUUUUGUACCCAGAUAAGUCUGACAGUAAUUGUUGCUUGCUACUCCAGACACUCUCAGAGAACCACUAAUCGUUCUUUAUCAGGCUGCAUUUAGGUGCUGAGGAAUCUCCUGAGAGAUUUCAAAUAACCUAAUCACCAAAUGAAGGCAUUUCAGUGAGCUUAUGUCUGCCAUGCUUUCAGUUAAUUUCCCCAGCCACCCUGAGGGUUUGUCCAGGAAGCUGUGUCUGUAUCCCCUGAAGUC